This 433-nucleotide ribosomal RNA is filed under the name uncultured bacterium. RNAcentral describes it as "partial 16S ribosomal RNA". It matches the Rfam family "Bacterial small subunit ribosomal RNA", at positions 29 to 507 of the family's 1533-position model. The record is from RNAcentral.
AACGAACGCUGGCGGCAUGCCUAACACAUGCAAGUCGAACGAAGCCUUCGGGCUUAGUGGCGCACGGGUGCGUAACGCGUGGGAAUCUGCCCCUUGCUUCGGAAUAACAGUUAGAAAUGACUGCUAAUACCGGAUGAAGUCUUCGGACCAAAGAUUUAUCGGCAAGGGAUGAGCCCGCGUAGGAUUAGGUAGUUGGUGGGGUAAAGGCCUACCAAGCCGAUGAUCCUUAGCUGGUCUGAGAGGAUGAUCAGCCACACUGGGACUGAGACACGGCCCAGACUCCUACGGGAGGCAGCAGUGGGGAAUAUUGGACAAUGGACGCAAGUCUGAUCCAGCAAUGCCGCGUGAGUGAUGAAGGCCUUAGGGUUGUAAAGCUCUUUUACCAGGGAUGAUAAUGACAGUACCUGGAGAAUAAGCUCCGGCUAACUCCGUG